This 253-nucleotide ribosomal RNA is filed under the name uncultured bacterium. RNAcentral describes it as "partial 16S ribosomal RNA". It matches the Rfam family "Bacterial small subunit ribosomal RNA", at positions 524 to 776 of the family's 1533-position model. The record is from RNAcentral.
UACGAAGGGGGCUAGCGUUGCUCGGAAUCACUGGGCGUAAAGGGUGCGUAGGCGGGUCUUUAAGUCAGGGGUGAAAUCCUGGAGCUCAACUCCAGAACUGCCUUUGAUACUGAGGAUCUUGAGUUCGGGAGAGGUGAGUGGAACUGCGAGCGUAGAGGUGAAAUUCGUAGAUAUUCGCAAGAACACCGAUGGCGAAGGCGGCGACCUGGUCCGUGACUGACGCUGAGGCGCGAAAGCGUGGGGAGCAAACAGG